Long non-coding RNA from Cygnus olor (mute swan), 1281 nucleotides. RefSeq lists it as uncharacterized. The transcript has 3 exons. Lineage: Eukaryota; Metazoa; Chordata; Aves; Anseriformes; Anatidae. The record is from RefSeq and is a predicted model, not a curated record.
CAUUUUCUUCUCUCUCCCCUUCUCCCCCAUUCCUCCCCCUUGCUCCCUCCUCCAUUAAUGUUUAGAAGAUUUCACAGUUUUCACCCAACCCUGGAAAGAAUGUAAGUCGAUGCUGCUGAUUGCCUUUGAAAACAUUUGGAACAAAUUAUCUCUACUUUUGGAAUCUGAAUAAAGGAAUGUGAGCCUCACUGGAGAAAUAUGAAAUACAGGGUGGGAUUCACAGAAGACUUUCCAGAGAAGCUCAGGCCUAACCAUGCUGAAAAGCUGAUGUGGCUACGAAGCACAACCGGGGAGAAAAAACCACAUCAGUGCUGCAGGAAGCUGUCCUCUGGAGGAUUGAACAAAGAUGAUCAAGCUUCUCUCUGCUCAUUUCCACUCACCCAUCAGGAUUUCAUUGAUGGGCAAGCCUGAAAAAACCUGCCAGAAGUGUCAUUUCACACCCGCCUGAAGUCUUUAGUUUGGAGUGCUUCCCUUAUUCAUCCAUCACAACAUAGUCUCUCUCUCUAUAAUAUAUAUAAGUCCCUUUUACACAUAUACACUAUAUAUAAUAGUCCCUUUUACACAUUGUCUCUGCUCUUUGCAGCACCCUGGUUUGUAGCUAUGCUAAAGCAAACCCAAAUUCAAAAUGGCCUGAAAAAUCAUUGGUGUAUCCAGGCAAGAAUUAAUUAAAAUUUUGCAAGAAAUGCCAAUUAUAGAUACAAGAGGGAGACAACCACAAUUUCCAAAUCCUCCCUGACACUGUUCUGCAAUUCAGAAAGCAAGAAAGGCUUUGGCUACCUGCAUGAGUUUGCAUUUACAUCUUCAAGGCAAAAAUGUGACUUGAAGAAGCAUGUUGCCAGAGUGAACCGAUGCCAGCAAGAAGCUGUCGCAGAUCGUAAAACAUCUGUGUAAGAAGCCUGCACUGCUGAAUAGAUGCAGAGUCCAUCAGGUAUGUUACCUAUGCUGCACAGAGAACAGGAAAGGAUCAUCAGAGGUCUUAGGAAGGACCUGAGGGUUCUCUGAAAAGCAUGGAGAAGUCAUGGAGCCCUUGUUGGGGGCUCAACAGGGUUGUGCUCUUCUCUCUUCCUGGCCAGCUCUGCUCCAGAAAGUGAACUGGUUCCUCUGGACUGGCUGGUGGCCACGAGGAGGGGAACUGAAUAUGGGAAUUGUUUUUCCCAGGUCCAGCUGCCUCUUUAAAAGAACACAAAAUCUAUAGAGACACUCAGAGCAAUUUUAGCUAGCCAUCUCUUGAACACAGGACAGAAUAAUUACAGAUGUAGAUAAAUAACCAAAUUAGCACUG